UACAGAGGUUGCGAGCGUUCAUCGGAAUUACUGGGCGUAAAGCGCGCGUAGGCGGCUUUGCAAGUCGGAUGUGAAAUCCCCAGGCUUAACCUGGGAACUGCAUUCGAGACUGCAUUGCUAGAGUAUGGGAGAGGGAAGUGGAAUUUCCGGUGUAGCGGUGAAAUGCGUAGAUAUCGGAAGGAACAUCAGUGGCGAAAGCGACUUCCUGGACCAAUACUGACGCUCAUGUGCGAAAGCGUGGGGAGCAAACAGG
This 253-nucleotide ribosomal RNA is filed under the name uncultured bacterium. Its description in RNAcentral is "partial 16S ribosomal RNA". It matches the Rfam family "Bacterial small subunit ribosomal RNA", at positions 524 to 776 of the family's 1533-position model. The record is from RNAcentral.